This 327-nucleotide ribosomal RNA is filed under the name uncultured bacterium. RNAcentral describes it as "bacterial SSU rRNA". It matches the Rfam family "Bacterial small subunit ribosomal RNA", at positions 28 to 334 of the family's 1533-position model. The record is from RNAcentral.
GACGAACGCUGGCGGCGUGCCUAACACAUGCAAGUCGAGCGAAGUGCUUAGGACUGAUUCCUUCGGGAUGACGACCUAAGUAUCUUAGCGGCGGAUGGGUGAGUAACGCGUGAGAAACCUGCCUUUCACAAGGGAAUAGCCUCGGGAAACUGGGAUUAAUACCCUAUGAUAGCUUUAUUUCACAUGAAAUUUAGCUUAAAGCGAAAAGCGGUGAAAGAUGGUCUCACGUCCCAUUAGUUAGUUGGUGAGAUAAAAGCUCACCAAGACAACGAUGGGUAGCCGGCCUGAGAGGGUGACCGGCCACACUGGAACUGAGACACGGUCCAG